RNAcentral lists this ribosomal RNA (252 nucleotides) under uncultured bacterium. RNAcentral describes it as "partial 16S ribosomal RNA". It matches the Rfam family "Bacterial small subunit ribosomal RNA", at positions 524 to 776 of the family's 1533-position model. The record is from RNAcentral.
UACGGAGGAUGCGAGCGUUAUCCGGAUUUAUUGGGUUUAAAGGGUGCGUAGGCGGACGCUUAAGUCAGCGGUAAAAUUGCGGGGCUCAACCUCGUCGAGCCGUUGAAACUGGGUGCCUUGAGUGGGCGAGAAGUACGCGGAAUGCGUGGUGUAGCGGUGAAAUGCAUAGAUAUCACGCAGAACUCCGAUUGCGAAGGCAGCGUACCGGCGCCCAACUGACGCUGAAGCACGAAGGCGUGGGGAGCGAACAGG